RNAcentral lists this non-coding RNA (45 nucleotides) under Schistosoma curassoni. The record is from RNAcentral. Lineage: Eukaryota; Metazoa; Platyhelminthes; Trematoda; Strigeidida; Schistosomatidae.
UCCUAGCUGAUGAGUCCCCAACAGAACAAAACGUACGUCCUGGGU